RNAcentral lists this long non-coding RNA (6971 nucleotides) under Olea europaea subsp. europaea. The record is from RNAcentral. Lineage: Eukaryota; Viridiplantae; Streptophyta; Magnoliopsida; Lamiales; Oleaceae.
CACAUUUUAUCUCAUAUUUCAUCAAUCACCCUAGCCGCCGCCGGCGGAUCUAGGUGACGGGUGACUAGAUUGUUCCGGAAUCGCCAGAAUGUUGCAGAGCAGAAUGCAACUGCCCUAACUUGAUUCACCGAUCGCUGAAGGAAGAGAGCAGAGAAAUUUGCAAACAGAGUCACAGAGACGCAUGGGAAGAAAGAAGAAGAGGAAGAGAGGAUUUGGGCUGGCUAUGAUGACUUGGGCAGUCAAGCUUAGAGCCAGUAGGCAGGCCUUUUUUUUCUUUUUUUUUUCCUUUUUUUUUGUAAAUUGGGCAGGCCCAAAUCAAUGAAAAUGAAAUCAUUUAUAUGGAUUAUGUCUCAUAUGAAUCACUUUCCCCCAAUUCUUUCCCGUCAAACCGGCAGCAGAGAAAAGAGCAAACCCUUCUUGAGUUCUUUCCCCCAAUUCCUUCUCGUCAAAUCGGUCACCUGAGUUAACUGAUUGAGCAUUUGAGCUAGUAGAGGCAUGAACGGUGAACGUAAACCCACUGGUGCGAAGUGCGAGUUGGGAGGAAAGAAGGAAGCAAGAGUGCAAAGAGAUAAUAAGCUGCGUUGAUCGCUUCGGGUGAGUGCGUUUUAUAUGUAGAUUUGCCUAUAUUUUGAUGCAAAUUUAAAUGAAAUUAUGUCAUAAUACUCAAGUUAUUUUAUUUAGAAGUAAAAUUUAAAAGUUCGAUGUAAAUGCAUGCUUGUAAACGUAGGAAAACACGUUUAUAAGGUCUUAAUUCUAUCCAAAAAAGACCACAAAAUUGCUGAUGAAUGAAUUUGGAUUUGUAGUACUAAUUUUUAAUUCUUUUUUCCUAGUUCUACAUUUUAUCUUUUGAUUGUUUGGAUCUGUAAAAUGAUUAGAAUAUGUAUAUUAAGAAGAAGAAUCCAUGUGAUAGAUGUGAAUUUGGGAUAGAAAAUGAAUGGAUAAAACUUAAAUUGAAUGGAUUGAUAUUUAAGAAGUUGCUUCAGAUUGGAGUUUGAAGGAGCCAUUUCAUGCCGCCACUCUUUCAUUUGGAUGGAUAAACAUUAAUGUGAGAUAGGUAGUGUUGGGUUGAAGUUUUAACAAAAUUAUAUGAUGGCUUGUUUGACUAUUUUUUUAUUCUAAAACUUAUCAACUUUUUCAUUAAUCAAGUUUUAAUUUUAACCACAUGUUUCACAAAAUUCGCAACUUUUAAAUUAUACCUUACUUGCACAUUAAUUGGUGUGUGGAAGGUUGAAUCUAACUAGAAGGUAUAGGUCUAAUGCUUCAAAUAGGUGAAGGUCCCUAUAAUAUUAACACUGUAAAUAUUAUCAUUUAGAAAACAUUUGUUCCAUCUAAAAUUGGAAACCCCCAAAAUCUCAACGUUGGACAUAGUAUCUAAUAAUAAUUAACAAAAUGGAUAUUCAAGAAGUUGCUUCAAAUUGGAUGAUCCAACCUUGCGCAUUUUAUUUACUCUAGGAAUACAUCAAAGGAAGUUGCAUUAAUUAAUAAAUUAAAAAUGCCACUUUUACACUUGAUAUUAGUUUCAAAGGAAUUAUUUAGUGUUUGAUGUCAAAAUCCCUUGUAGAAGUGGUUAGAAAUCAAAUUGCAUAUGAAAAUGGAUACUAUUUAACCGUGCAACUAGACACCUCAAAGUUAGAUGACUAUCCAUGCUAAAAAUGUUCGGUGACUGACAUUUUUAAGUUUGGUAACAACUUGAGUACAAAUCCACACAUUUUCUAGAUUUCUUGUUAAGCUUUUAUUUGAUGGGGAUUAAAAUCAGAUUUUUAGUAGAUUGUGAUAAAAGUUAACGAAAUGAGUGGUUGAUUACUUGAUGUGUCUUGUUUGUUGAAUUGUUGAUUUGUCUAGAUAUGCUCAAUCCAAACUCGAAUGUUGAAUUGUUGAUUUUUAGAUCAAUUCUAAUUGAAAAUUGAAUUGGGACAUUUUGCAAAUUAUGGAACGAUUUUUUCAAUCGAAACGAAGGUCUAUACCCAGCUCUCCUAAUUCUACUUGUGCUUCUAGUCCCGCUAUUGCUUCUAGCCGAGCACACGAGUUGUUAAAUAACAUAAAGAGUCUCAAGCUCAAUUCAAUGUUGAUGAUCUUGUAUCUGAUCCAAGAAAAUGCCCCCUAUCGAGUCAAAUGAUCCUAAUAUCAAAGAUGAUGUUAGGAUGGCAUACUUGGAAAAAAGGUCCUUGUCAACCACAUGGACAUGACUUUCCAAGAAGACGGAUAUGAAAUGAUAAUAGGUAUUCUCAUAAAGAAUGGUAUUCUGAAUUUUAUUGGUUGGAGUGCAGUAUAGAAAAUGAUGCGACUUAUUGUUUGCAUUGCUACUUAUUCAAACUUGAUAGAGGGGGUCAAGGGGGUGGACAUAUAUUCACUAAGAGCGGCUUUAGGGAUUGGAAGCACAAAAAUAUAUCGAAAGAUCAUGUCAGGCUUGUUGAUAGUGCUCAUAAUCAAACUUUUGCAAAGUGUACCAACUUGAUGAAUCAAAAGCAAAGUAUCUCCUAUGUUAUUUCUAGAUAAAGUAGUAGUCAACAAAAAAGUUAUAGGACAAGAUUGACUGCGGUGCUAGAUUGUACUAGUUUUCUCUUGUUGUAAGGAUUGCCAUUUCGUGGUUAUGAUGAAUCGAAAGAGUCUUCUAAUAAAAGAAAUAUAAUUGAGCUACUAAAUUGGUAUGGAGCUCGUAGUAAGAAAAUUAAUAAAGUAGUACUUAGUAAUGCUCCUGGAAAUGACCAAAUGACUUCACCAAGUAUCCAUAAGAAUUUAGUUAAUUGUUGUGCUGUAGAGACAAUAAAGUCUAUUAUCAAUGAGAUGGGUGAUUCUUUGUUUUCAAUUUUGGUUGUUAAGGCUCGUGAUAAUUCUAUAAAAGAACAAAUGGAAGUUGUUCCGAGGUUUGUUUACAAAAGUAGGCAAGUGAAGGAGCGUUUCCCAUAUCACUGAUACUUGUGCCAAUCACACAAGUAUGCCAUUGAUGUAAUAUUUUCUACACAUGGGUUGAGCAUAUUUAGCCUCAGAGGUCAAGGUUACAAUGGAGCAAGCAAUAUGUCAAUGAGUUCAAUGGCUUGGAAGCUUUAAUUUAAAGAGAGGGCCUAUAUGCUAUGUAUGUUCAUUGCUUUGCUUACCAGCUUCAGUUGGAAGUUGUUUCUGUGGCAUGUAGAAAUCUUAUGCUUGGUAAUUUAUUUAACAUGUUUGUUGUUAUUGUGAAUUUGGUUGGUGUAUCAUAUAAACGUAUAGAUGCUCUUCGAGUAAGUUAUAAUUCUGAAAUUCUAGAGAGGCUUAAUAUUGGGGAACUUUCUGGUGGAACUGGUCAGUUUCAAGAAAUGAGUUUGGCACACCUAGGUGAUACUAGAUGGGGCUCACAUCUAACAACAAUUACUUGCUUUAUUAGUAUGUUUAAUGCAAUCAUAGAUGUUCUUAAGAAUAUAUUAGAAGAUGUCAUAAGUUUAGAUAAAAAAUCAAUGGUUGUAAGACAGAUGGACACUAUGCAAGAUUUUCAGUUUGUGUUCAGUCUUCAUUUUAUGUUUGAAAUUCUUGCAAUUACAGACAACAUUUAUAGAUAAAGGAUUAGGAUAUUCAGAAUGCUAUGAGGUUAUUAAAGUUGUGUAAGUACGCAUUGCAGAACAUGAGUGACAAUAGUUGGGAUACUUUGCUGAGUAAGGUGAUUGAGUUUUGUGUUGAUGACAUAUUUCAGUGCCCAACAUGGAGGAUAUUGUAGUAUUAAAAGGUCAACCUAGGCGUGCAGCUCAACAAGUGACAUAUUAUCAUUGCUUUUAUGUUUAUUUGUAUUGUCAUGUGAUAGUUUCAAUCUUGCAAGAGUUGAAUGAUCGUUUUCCAAAAAAAAAACUACUGAGCUUUUUACUUGCAUUUCGUGUUUAAGUCCAAGAGAUUCAUUUUCGGCUUUUGAUGUAUGUAAAGUGGUACGUCUUACUCAGUUAUAUCCUUUGGAUUUCAAUGGUGAAGAUCUUUUAUUACUUAGACCUCAACUUGACAAGUUUUUUAUGCUUGUGAGAAUGGACGAAGCUAUCUUCAACCUCAAAAGAACAUCUUGUAUAACUCAGAAGUUAGUUGAAACUAGAAGUUCUUGUUAUUUUCCAUUGGUUUAUAGGCUGAUCACCUUGGUUUUGAUAUUAUCUGUGUCAACUGCAAGUGUUGAAAGGGUAUCCUCUGCUAUGAAUCUAAUCAAGAAUUACCUGCGCAACAAAAUGGGAGAUAAAUUAUUGAAUGACAAUUUGGUGGUUUACAUGGAGAAAGAUACUGUUAUAAAAUUUAAGAAAUAUUGCAAAGUUUUCAAAAUAUGAGACCCCGUAGAAUUUAGUUGUCUAAGUUUACAAUUAUAGAGUAAGGUUGUAUUAUAUAUUUUUUUAGUGUUUUGGGUUGUAUUGAACUAUAUUUUCAUAUGUAUAUAAUGUUUACGUUUUAGUGCAUUUAAAUAUAUAUUGAAUAAGUUUUAAUAUUAUUUAAUCAAAUUUUAAUAAAUGAUCGACCGUCGUCGGAUCGGGCUUUUAUGAUCGUUGACUGUCGACAAUUAACGGUCAAAGUCAACCUCCGCCCUAGCUGAACGUUCAUGCUAAAUUUGCUCUUGCUCGCCGCUGUCGCCACCACCAUAUGUAACAUAUAGCAUUUGUUUGAUUUUGAUUAUUUUGAGAAUUGAUUAUUUGAAAACUAUUUUUUUGAUUAAUGCAUGGGUGAAAAUGAAACAUAAGUGAUUCUCGAAGAAUCAAAAUCAAAAAAGAGUUUAGUGUUACACAACCAUUACCGUUGACCCAACAAAUUGUAGCAUUUAUUAUUACGUAGUUGGCAAGCCUAAUGCUUACGACAUUCAUUAUUCCACUACAACCACAAAACCAUCACCCUUGUAACAUUUAUAGUGUUGCAACUGUCGUUACCAUUGUCGCCAUACACAAUUGCCCAUUACCAGCACCAACAUUUACCGGCAUAACACGUACCAUUGCCACAUUCAUUCACCAACACUACCAUGCAAGCCACAAUAACUGUGAAACUUCUAUCAUCUCACAAAAAUAAAAAUAAACCAAUCUGACCACAACAACGAAAAUCAAAUGAAAAAAUAAAACCAAAAUCAAUGAAAAUGGGAUCCAAAACACACAUUUAUUGUUAAAUUCCUUGUUAUUGAAUUUAACGCCCAACAAAAAUCUUGUUUGGCGAAAAAUGAUCGUGGUAGCAGAUGAACGUGCUACUAACAUUAGGUUUUUGUGGGUGAAAUUUCCACUACCCAAAACCCUAAUUUGGGCCUAAAGCCCAAUUGAGCUAAGCUUUGACUUAAACAUAUAAGGGAAAAUUUCAUAUACAAUAGAUUAAGUAAAAAAAAAAAAAAAAGAAUCAUAUUUCACCAAUCAGAUAUUGGCCUAGAAAUUAAUUUAUUUAAAAAUGGAAAACAAUCCUGCACAAUUAGCUUAAGUUACCGUAACCAGCAGGAUUGUAAAAAAAAAAAAAAAAAAAAAAUCAUCUCUCCAACUGAUUUCAGAAGCCACAGGAUUUGAAAAUACGUCCAAUUUACUGCCAACUCUUACGAAAGUGAUGGUAAAAGCAAAUUCUAGUCACAAAUUACAGUCUCUGGGUCGCAUUACGUCAGAUUAAAACAUGAGUCUCUCAAACAGUCCCUGAUAUGUUACUUCAACCUAUAAUUCAGAAAGUUUACAUUUAUAUGUGUGUAAUUACGAUUUAUUGAUUGUAAUUUGUUGUUUAUUCAUACUACACAAGCGUCGAUCGACGAAAAUAUGGUUUGUGUGGAAAUUGCGAUCGUGAAUAUCGUACAGUGCUAUUCAAAAGUGUUGUGACCGUUACAAAAAACAUGUGAUAGUCUAUUCAUAGGAUGUGACCUCAUGCAGUCAAUACCGCGUGGGUGUUUGUGUCUCGAAAUGUGUGACGUGUGACAUACUGCAUCUGUGACAUGUGAUAUUAAUUCUCUUGUUCGAAUCUAAUCAUAUGCGAUCUACACGUAUUUACCGUGACUGAUUAUUGCAUGUAAUUGUGAUUUAAUACGCACAUGCGACUUGCAUAUAUUCAAUAUGUGACCAUGAUAUUCAAGAUACGACAUGCGUUUAUUGUGACCUAUGAUUAUUUAACAGAAUUGUGACCCACAUGCAAUUAGUUGUGACCAAUAUACGAAGACUUGUGGCCACUCUUCAACGGUAUGUGACCAAUAUGCAAUGACGUGUAACAAAUAUGCAAUGACCUAUGACCACUCGCAAAAAAUCUGAAAAAUAAAAACAUGUGACUUGCAUGUAUUCAAUAUGUGACAAUGAUACUCGAGAUUCAACACGUAUUUGUUGUGACUUGAGAUCAUUUAACAGAAUUUUGACCCAUAUGCAAAUAGCUGUGACUGUAAUUGGAUGUUUGACUGAUUAUGUUUUUGUUCAUUUUGCAGAAAUGGGGUUCAUUCACGUAUGUUUGUUGAAUGAUCACAAAUGUCGCUAGUGUUGAUUCAUCGUAGUUGUGGGUCUUUGAGGCUUGACGACACAGUUAUGAAAGAGUUUAGCUUCAACCUUGCAAAAGUUGCUGUGACAAUGAAGUAUGUCUUGAAUAGUGAUCUGCCUCUAAUAACAGUCAAGAGUGAUGAUAAUGUGUUGUCGUACAUGGUUUUGAAGGAUAUGAAUCAUGACCCUACCAAAUAUCCAAUUCACAUCAAGGUCACAACUGCAAAUAGUGAAAAAUAGCCUAUUGCGCUAUCAGUUGAUAUUCAAUCGAAUGAACAUGGAUUUUCAUUAACAGAUAUGUCAUCAGAUAUAUUUGGAUCAAUAGUGGAUCUAUUUAGUGACAAGUUUGAACAUGAGGUCACAGUUGUGGCAGUGGCAGAUGCUAGGGAGAUAGAGGAAUGAAGAGUUUUUCGUAACAAGGAGAUUAUGAAAUUGAGCUUGUCGUUUUAUGCAAUCCAAAAUAUGUUUGAGUACGUGAUUGUUUGAUCCGAAAAACAAAAGACUAUCUUGUGAAAUGUUCACGUGAUGAGUGUAAUUGGACAUGCAGAGCAUCGAAGUUAGCCA